Long non-coding RNA from Rana temporaria (common frog), 256 nucleotides. RefSeq lists it as uncharacterized. NCBI's taxonomy places the organism in Eukaryota, Metazoa, Chordata, Amphibia, Anura, Ranidae. The transcript is spliced from 3 exons. The record is from RefSeq and is a predicted model, not a curated record.
GUAGAGAGGAGACAUUUUGUUUGAAGUGGCAGCAGAGGAGAAACCCGCAUAGAUCACAUGACCGACCACUUCAAUGAGGAUGGAAGAGGAUUGGAGUCACAUAACUGAGAGGAUACGAAACCUCACCCUGGAGAUCAUCUGCCUGCUGAACGGAGAGAGUUCGCCUCCUAUAAAAUCUGGUGAUCAUAUGACCAUCACAGUGCCUCUACCUCACUCUCUGAAACCUGAGAGACACAACAUGGAGAAGAUUCUAGAA